RNAcentral lists this long non-coding RNA (199 nucleotides) under Elaeis guineensis (African oil palm). RNAcentral's name for it is "long non-coding RNA (EGUI_LNC005214)". Lineage: Eukaryota; Viridiplantae; Streptophyta; Magnoliopsida; Arecales; Arecaceae. The record is from RNAcentral.
CCUCUAUCUCCUGCAGAAUCCUGCAUGAGAUGUCCAAUUCUUUUUCAUAGGAUUAUUUCCCUUUGGACAUCAUUAGUUAUUUGUUGUACAAACUUUGAAUGACUUUAACUAACCUUAUGAAAUGUGGGUUUUUUGGGUCAUAGUCUUAAUUGCUAUUCCUCUGUUUGUCUUAUUCAAAACUUAAAAUAUUUGAGAAAUA